GACGAACGCUGGCGGCGUGCCUAAUACAUGCAAGUUGAGCGCUGAAGGUUGGUACUUGUACCAACUGGAUGAGCAGCGAACGGGUGAGUAACGCGUGGGGAAUCUGCCUUUGAGCGGGGGACAACAUUUGGAAACGAAUGCUAAUACCGCAUAAAAACUUUAAACACAAGUUUUAAGUUUGAAAGAUGCAAUUGCAUCACUCAAAGAUGAUCCCGCGUUGUAUUAGCUAGUUGGUGAGGUAAAGGCUCACCAAGGCGAUGAUACAUAGCCGACCUGGGAGGGUGGUCGGCCACAUUGGGACUGAGACACGGCCCAAACUCCUACGGGAGGCAGCCGUAGGGAAUCUUCGGCAAUUGACGAAAGUCUGACCGAGCAACGCCGCGUGAGUGAAGAAGGUUUUCGGAUCGUAAAACUCUGUUGGUAGAGAAGAACGUUGGUGAGAGUGGAAAGCUCAUCAAGUGACGGUAACUACCCAGAAAGGGACGGCUAACUACGUG
This 497-nucleotide ribosomal RNA is filed under the name uncultured bacterium. Its description in RNAcentral is "partial 16S ribosomal RNA". It matches the Rfam family "Bacterial small subunit ribosomal RNA", at positions 28 to 507 of the family's 1533-position model. The record is from RNAcentral.